UACAGAGACGGCAAGCGUUGUUCGGAUUCAUUGGGCGUAAAGGGUGCGUAGGCGGUGAGGUAAGUCGGAUGUGAAAUCCCAAAGCUUAACUUUGGAAGUGCAUCCGAAACUCCCUCGCUUGAGGACUGGAGGGGAGACUGGAAUUCUCGGUGUAGCGGUGAAAUGCGUAGAUAUCGAGAGGAACACCAGUGGCGAAGGCGGGUCUCUUGACAGUUCCUGACGCUGAGGCACGAAAGCUAGGGUAGCAAACGGG
RNAcentral lists this ribosomal RNA (253 nucleotides) under uncultured bacterium. RNAcentral describes it as "partial 16S ribosomal RNA". It matches the Rfam family "Bacterial small subunit ribosomal RNA", at positions 524 to 776 of the family's 1533-position model. The record is from RNAcentral.